GUGGGGAAUAUUGCGCAAUGGGGGAAACCCUGACGCAGCGACGCCGUGUGAGGGAAGAAGGCUUUCGGGUCGUAAACCUCUGUCAGAAAGGAAGAACCUCCCAAGUCCGAAUAGGGCUUGGGACUGACGGUACUUUCAAAGGAAGCACCGGCUAACUCCGUGCCAGCAGCCGCGGUAAUACGGAGGGUGCAAGCGUUAAUCGGAAUCACUGGGCGUAAAGCGCGCGUAAGCCGCUUUGUAAGUCGGACGUGAAAGCCCUCGGCUCAACCGGGGAAGUGCGUUCGAUACUGCGAGGCUUGAGUCCUGGAGAGGGUGGCGGAAUUCCGGGUGUAGGAGUGAAAUCCGUAGAUAUCCGGAGGAACACCGGUGGCGAAGGCGGCCACCUGGACAAAGACUGACGCUCAGGUGCGAAAGCGUGGGGAGCAAACAGGAUUAGAAACCCCUGUAGUCC
This 451-nucleotide ribosomal RNA is filed under the name uncultured bacterium. RNAcentral's name for it is "partial 16S ribosomal RNA". It matches the Rfam family "Bacterial small subunit ribosomal RNA", at positions 354 to 796 of the family's 1533-position model. The record is from RNAcentral.